Molecule: ribosomal RNA, 691 nt
Filed under: Escherichia coli
Lineage: Bacteria; Pseudomonadati; Pseudomonadota; Gammaproteobacteria; Enterobacterales; Enterobacteriaceae
Description: partial 23S ribosomal RNA
Rfam family: Bacterial large subunit ribosomal RNA
Source: RNAcentral
CCGGGUUGCGGACAGUGUCUGGUGGGUAGUUUGACUGGGGCGGUCUCCUCCUAAAGAGUAACGGAGGAGCACGAAGGUUGGCUAAUCCUGGUCGGACAUCAGGAGGUUAGUGCAAUGGCAUAAGCCAGCUUGACUGCGAGCGUGACGGCGCGAGCAGGUGCGAAAGCAGGUCAUAGUGAUCCGGUGGUUCUGAAUGGAAGGGCCAUCGCUCAACGGAUAAAAGGUACUCCGGGGAUAACAGGCUGAUACCGCCCAAGAGUUCAUAUCGACGGCGGUGUUUGGCACCUCGAUGUCGGCUCAUCACAUCCUGGGGCUGAAGUAGGUCCCAAGGGUAUGGCUGUUCGCCAUUUAAAGUGGUACGCGAGCUGGGUUUAGAACGUCGUGAGACAGUUCGGUCCCUAUCUGCCGCGGGCGCUGGAGAACUGAGGGGGGCUGCUCCUAGUACGAGAGGACCGGAGUGGACGCAUCACUGGUGUUCGGGUUGUCAUGCCAAUGGCACUGCCCGGUAGCUAAAUGCGGAAGAGAUAAGUGCUGAAAGCAUCUAAGCACGAAACUUGCCCCGAGAUGAGUUCUCCCUGACUCCUUGAGAGUCCUGAAGGAACGUUGAAGACGACGACGUUGAUAGGCCGGGUGUGUAAGCGCAGCGAUGCGUUGAGCUAACCGGUACUAAUGAACCGUGAGGCUUAACCUU